This 465-nucleotide ribosomal RNA is filed under the name uncultured bacterium. RNAcentral describes it as "partial 16S ribosomal RNA". It matches the Rfam family "Bacterial small subunit ribosomal RNA", at positions 28 to 507 of the family's 1533-position model. The record is from RNAcentral.
GACGAACGCUGGCGGCGUGCUUAACACAUGCAAGUCGAACGGAAAGGCCCCUUUGGGGGUACUCGAGUGGCGCACGGGUGCGUAACACGUGAGUAACCUGCCCUUGACUUCGGGAAAACUUCAGGAAACUGGGGCUAAUACCGGAUAGGAAUCCUUGCUGCAUGGUGGGGGUUGGAAAGCUUCGGCGGUUUUGGAUGGACUCGCGGCUUAUCAGCUUGUUGGUGGGGUAGAGGCUUACCAAGGCUUGGACGGGUAGCCGGCCUGAGAGGGCGACCGGCCACAUUGGGACUGAGAUACGGCCCAGACUCCUACGGGAGGCAGCAGUGGGGAAUAUUGCACAAUGGGCGGAAGCCUGAUGCAGCAAGGCCGCGUGCGGGAUGACGGCCUUCGGGUUGUAAACCGCUUUCAGCAGGGGCGAAGCUUGUGGUGACGGUACCUGCAGAAGAAGCACCGGCUAACUACGUG